This is a long non-coding RNA of Bos taurus (domestic cattle), 1086 nucleotides long. The record is from Ensembl. Lineage: Eukaryota; Metazoa; Chordata; Mammalia; Artiodactyla; Bovidae.
CUUUCAUGCAUUGGAGAAGGAAAUGGCAACCCACUCCAGUGUUCUUGCCUGGAGAAUCCCAGGGAUGGGGGAGCCUGGUGGGCUGCCGUCUAUGGGGUUGCACAGAGUCGGACACAACUGAAGCAACUUAGUAGUAGUAGUAUGGGAUGGGGUCGGAGAAGGCAAUGGCAACCCACUCCAGUACUCUUGCCUGGAAAAUCCCAUGGAUGGAGGAGCCUGUAGGCUACAGUCCAUGGGGUCACUGGAGAGUCGGACACGACGGAACAACUUCACUUUCACUUUUCACUUUCAUGCAUUGGAGAAGGAAAUGGCAACCCACUCCAGUAUUCUUGCCUGGAGAAUCCCAGGGACGGGGGAGCCUGGUGGGCUGCUGUCUAUGGGGUCACACAGAGUCGGACACGACUGAAGUGACUUAGCAGCAACAGGAGCAGCAGCAUGGGACAGGGUGACCUGAGGCUAUUGGGGCUCCCCAGGUGACUCAGGGUCCAGGUUCCCCCAGAUGACUCUCAGUCCAGAGCCCCCCAUGUGACUCAGGGUCUGGGGCCACCCCAGUAGAACUGGGGUCUGUGGCCUCCCAGUGGACUCGAGGUCCAGAUCGCCUCAGGUGACUCAGGGUCUGGGGUGCCCCAGCUGACUCAGGGUCGGUGUUCCCCAGGUGACACAGGUCCCGGGGCCACCGCAGGUGACUCAGGGUCUGAGUUCUCCUCAGGUAACUCGGGGUCUGGGGCCCCCUCAGGAGACUUGGGGUGUGGGGCGCCCCCAGGUGACUCGGGGUCCGGGGCCCCCUCAGGUGACUCGGGUGCCGGGCCCCUUGUGUGGCGCGGCGGCCCAGCGUGCAAGACUGAGGGAGGCACCUGCCUGUCAUGACGCGCUCGGGGUGAGUGUGCGCUGACAGACCGAACGGACACCCGAGAGCUCCCAGAAAUGCCCGCCACGAUUCUGCUAAGUUAUGGUGAGGGCGGUGACGAAGCUCAAGAUGACAGCCGUGACGGAAGUCGGGGCUGGCUCACCGUGUCACUCCUCUUCGGGCCCGCCCCUCACACCGCCCCGUCAGUCCCCGGGACCGCCCUCGACCUCGAAAGCCCC